Molecule: ribosomal RNA, 660 nt
Filed under: uncultured bacterium
Lineage: Bacteria
Description: bacterial SSU rRNA
Rfam family: Bacterial small subunit ribosomal RNA
Source: RNAcentral
AGUGGCGGACGGGUGAGUAACGCGUGAGAAUCUGCCUUGGGGUCGGGGACAACCACUGGAAACGGUGGCUAAUACCGGAUAAGCCGAUUGGUGAAAGAUUUAUUGCCCGAAGAGGAGCUCGCGUCUGAUUAGCUAGUUGGUGAGGUAAGAGCUCACCAAGGCAGCGAUCAGUAGCUGGUCUGAGAGGACGAUCAGCCACACUGGGACUGAGACACGGCCCAGACUCCUACGGGAGGCAGCAGUGGGGAAUUUUCCGCAAUGGGCGAAAGCCUGACGGAGCAAGACCGCGUGAGGGAGGAAGGCUCUUGGGUUGUAAACCUCUUUUCUCAGGGAAGAAGCUCUGACGGUACCUGAGGAAUCAGCCUCGGCUAACUCCGUGCCAGCAGCCGCGGUAAUACGGAGGAGGCAAGCGUUAUCCGGAAUUAUUGGGCGUAAAGCGUCCGCAGGUGGCGAUUCAAGUCUGCUGUCAAAGCACGGGGCUUAACUCCGUAAAGGCAGUGGAAACUGAAUAGCUAGAGUGCCGUAGGGGUAGAGGGAAUUCCCGGUGUAGCGGUGAAAUGCGUAGAGAUCGGGAAGAACAUCGGUGGCGAAAGCGCUCUACUGGACGGCAACUGACGCUCAGGGACGAAAGCUAGGGGAGCGAAUGGGAUUAGAUACCCC